AGGAAUUAGAAAACUUUUCUGAACUCACCCAGUCUUCUCUGAUGUUGGAAAGCUAAGCAGGAUCAGGCCUGGUUAGUACUUGGAUGGGGGAAACUUUUUGUCAGAGAGAACUGGUUCUUAUUCACA
Molecule: ribosomal RNA, 126 nt
Filed under: Octodon degus (degu)
Lineage: Eukaryota; Metazoa; Chordata; Mammalia; Rodentia; Octodontidae
Source: RNAcentral